Non-coding RNA from Equus caballus (horse), 1987 nucleotides. The record is from RefSeq and is a predicted model, not a curated record. NCBI's taxonomy places the organism in Eukaryota, Metazoa, Chordata, Mammalia, Perissodactyla, Equidae.
CACAACUAGAAUCCACAACUAUGUAUUAGGGAGCUUUGGGGAGAAGAAGAAAAAAAAAAGAUUUACUCUUAGUAACUUUCAGUUACUAAGUAACUAGUAACAAUCCAGUAUUGUUAACUAGUCACUCUGCUGUACACUAAUCCUCAGAACUUAUAACUAGAAGUUUGUACCUUUGACCACCUUUACCCACCGCCCCCCAUGCAUUAUUCAUUAUUUGGGUCAUCUCAUUUAGUCCUGACAACAAUCCUUUGAAGUAGGUAUUAUCAUGCCCAUUUUACAGUGGAAGGAACAGAGGCUCAGAGAGUGUGAGUACUUUGCUGAAAGCCUCUCCUCUAAGCUGCUUUGAUAGAAAUUUGCAGUUCUCCCUACUAGAUUAAUUUCCAUCAUCUUGCUAUUAUUAAAAAUGUGAAUAGAAUUGUGUCUCCAUUAGGAUUCUUUGGUUGCAAACAACCAGAAUCCCCCAACACCUAACACUACUACCUAGGCUUAAGCAUUCAGUCCCCUGACUCCAAGAGGUAGGCUGUCUUCCCGCGCUAAAUCAGGGCUUAGUGCCGUCCCUAGGCCUUGGCACAUAUCUAUCUCUCUCUGCUUGGCUCUGCUCCCCUUUCAUUGGCUUCCUUCUCAGGCUUCAGGUAGAGGCUAAGUGAUGGCAGCAACUUUCAGAGUCAAGGCCCACCAAGAGGAUUACUUGCUUGAUUUGGACCCUUGGCUUCUGAGGGCACACUCAGGAGGCAUGUGGGACAAACCUUUCUGGAAUGAACCAGAGGGCUACUUCUUCAAGUCUGUCCACUGACCACCUGCGUCAGAGCCACCUGGGGGCACCUGGUAACAUGCAACCUUCUGCGCCCACGCCCCUCUUCUUGCAGGUGGACUGUGAGGCCCGAAGAAGGGGAGUGACCUCGUCAGGGAGUGAGUGCUGAUCUAGGACAGAAGCCCGAGUCCUCUGAUUUCAAAACCCAGGGAGGAAAGGACAGAGAAUGAGGGCAGGAAAUGCGUCCAGCUUUGACUCCUCCGAUUCCCAUAUAUUUUCCCUUUAAUUCUCAUCAUUAGGAGAAAAAUCCAGUACCGACCCGGCAGGAGCCUUUGGAGGGAGGUGGCUUCCUGCUAAUCGGGCCUCAGUGUGCUCUGAGAGCUCGGAUUGCUGCCUCUCACCUCCCAGGGAGGCUCAGUGUAGCGGGCAUCUCAGGUCUCCAGCCUCCGCACAGACGUCCUCUGUUAAAGGAGGAGGCCUGGCAGGGGAAGGAGCUGGGUGGGUCAAGCUGUAGCCUGGUGUGAGAGCUGCCUCCUUUGAAUGGGCACUGGGAGGCGGGGAGGAGAGUCCAGGCAGAUGAGUAAGCGAAGCAGAGCUUGAUCCAGAAGGGAGGGAGCCAGAGGGAGCCAGGACCUCAGUCAGAGAAGAGAGUUCUCAAUUCCAAAUGAAGACUUCUCUCAGCCGGCAACAAGAGAACCCAUUAUAAGCACCUAAUCUCUCUGUUAGGGUUGGCAGAUAAAUUUGAGUUUCAGCAACCCUGCUAGUCCUCCCACUAGCCCUGGAAACUGCCGCCUCCUGACCCGUCACAGGCCCCGGUCCUGCAAAGCUGGUACGAUCGGCGCCCUAAGGGAGCAGCAGGGCCUCCUCCCCCGUUUCAGAGGCGACCAUGCUGAGGCUGGGAGAAGUGCAGUGCCUCGUCUGGGGUCAAACAGUGAUCCGGGCGCAGAGGAGGAAUCCUAGCCCUGACCGGUCCCGCUCCAAGUUCAAGGAUUCUUUCGGAUCCUUUACCUCAAGUUCUCACCUGCAGUUGGCAGAGGCGGCGAAAUACUUGAGUUUUGAGUUUUUCUUCUCCUUUUUACGUGUCCUGUGCGGCGGGGGGUGGGGAUGCGCUUUGGGCCACCAGGGUUUUCAGGCUGCCCGGGAACUCUUAAAGGAACAUUAGGGGAUCUUUCUGAAAAGCUAAAAACAAACAAACGCGUUUGAAAAUAAAGUCCUGUGGAUAAUCUCCCCACACAA